GAGGGUAUAGCUCAGCGGUAGAGCGCAUGCCUGAUAUGCACAAGGUCCUGGGUUCAAUCCCCAGUACCUCCA
Molecule: transfer RNA, 72 nt
Filed under: Camelus bactrianus (Bactrian camel)
Lineage: Eukaryota; Metazoa; Chordata; Mammalia; Artiodactyla; Camelidae
Also listed under: 1 other name
Rfam family: tRNA
About the family: Transfer RNA (tRNA) molecules are approximately 80 nucleotides in length.
Source: Rfam by way of RNAcentral